CAUCAACUGGCAAAUUCACUUCAAUAUAGUACAGUUUGGAAAGAGGUUCAGCAAUUUUCUUUACAAACAAUGCAAAAUCCAUUAGAGUUUACUGGGAUGGGUCUGUUCAAUCUUGGCAAUGAAUGCCUUCAAAAGUUUUGCAUGACAAUUGUAACAUUUGUAAUUAUUUUGAUACAAUUACAAAUGCCGUCUGACAUAAGGAUACAAAAUCCGACUGAUAUAUAGCCGUUCUUAGAAGAAAGUAAUUGCAUUGUUAGUUUAAUAUUACAUCGUUAGUUUAAUAUUGAAACAAAGUAUUAAUAUUAUUCCUUGUGAUGGUUCUGUUAUCGUAAAAAGUAACAUAACAUUAAUUAAGUAAAAAUAGAAAAUUGCAAAAGUCGAUACGAAAGUAAUGCUUCCAAUCUUUUUUCUCAGAAAAUUUAAUUCUUACAACUGUGGUUUUUAAACGAUAUAAUCUU
Molecule: non-coding RNA, 458 nt
Organism: Linepithema humile (Argentine ant)
Lineage: Eukaryota; Metazoa; Arthropoda; Insecta; Hymenoptera; Formicidae
Source: RefSeq, a predicted model, not a curated record